CCUUUUUGUUCGUUCGUGAAGAGUGUAUUAGAGAAUAAAACUUUCACUAAACCUAUUUCAGUUCAUUUCCUUCCAUUUUGAAAGAAAAUUAAAAACAAAUGACAUUUGGAGAGCAAUUGGUACUGUAAUUUGUCUUGGGUUCCUUUCAAGUCUCUUUUCUCUUGGUCAGUGUGAGACGAUACACCAAUUAACUGGGCCACGCUAAUCAACACCAUUUGGCAGGGUACUUUGAUGAUUGUCAAAGCUUUUAUUGUCGUUGUAUACUUAAGCAUAGGCAUGAGAUAGAAUAGAUGUCAACAACAUGGAAAAAUUGCACACCAAGGAGAAAAUGUAUAAAAGGAGAAAACGACCAUGCUUAGCUUCCAAAGGAGAAUUCCUCUCCUCUGGCCAUUAAUGCGGAUGAAGAAACCCUUAUGUAAGAAAACAAAAAGUACCCACGUAUUACAGCAAGAGUAAUAUAAUUCUAAUCUAAAGAAAAUUUUCAACUAAGAUUUCUUCGUCAUCAUUUGCAAUUUUUUUGGAUUCUUCAGGAGAAGAUUAGUCUCUUUUAGGAAUUUGGCUCUUUAAACUGUGUAAUGUUGUUGAAUUGUGUCAAUAUCAAGUCCUUUCAACUUCACCACCGAUUCAACAUGCCCCUUCAGGGUAUGUAGCUCCCUCAGCCUUGCCACUUCAGCCCUCCGCUUGGCUUGCUCUGCAAUCUCUGAAAGUUCUCGGUAACUAUUUUUGUCAGCAAAGAGGUUGUUGGUUUCAGGAGGUUGAAGGCCAUGAAGGGUCCUCUGAGCUGUGGCCCAUUGAGCUUCUCUCUCUUCCUUCCCAUAGUCUUUCUUUGUUGUAAAGGCAGUCUUGUUCUCCAAAAGAUUAUCCCAAGCCUUGCCGCUGAGAAUGUAACGGAUUGCAAAUUUGAGCAGAUCAAGUGGCACAUAUGUAACCAAACUAUAGAGCCAGAUUACACCAGCCCAGCCCCAGCCACAACCCUUUAUACGAGCAAAACCCCAGUUUGCGUAAACUGCUAUCAAGGUAGCUACCUGCCAUUUACAGAAUGGUUCGUGCCUUAGUAUAGAAAUGCAGAUUUCUCAUGACACAUUGAAUCUUCCACAUUAAACAGGAAAAGACAGUGCCUCUGCUUUGAUCGAAAAGUCAGAUAACUCUGCUUUAAUCCAAAAACAAAUUAAGCCCAGUAGAGAUUAGUGGAUUGAAGCCUUACAAGCUGAGCAAUUACGAAUGCACUGACUAGAAGAAGUCCAGGACGUUCAACAAAGGACCAGCUGCGAGACCUUGUGACAAAAAUAAGGGCCUGGCUCACAAUACUCACUUGUAGGUAUAAAGCUGCCAUCAUUUCACGUUCCCUGCCAUGCAAUGAUCUUACGCCAAACUUGUCCUGCAUUGGCAAUAAAAUCAUAAAUAUCUAAAACAUGAAAGAGGAAUCAAAGCUUUUUCUCCAUCUGCCUCUCAAAAGGGAGCUAACUGCUCAGUAUUCUUACCGAAAAGAAGUUGGUUUCGUACAUAGCCCAGAAAAAUAUCACUGUCAUUAGUGCCAAGUAUCCUCCAAGAACAAUACCAGUACUGAAGAUCUCUUUAAGUUUCCAGCUGUCCGGCUGUGGUGAUGGUUUCACUCGAUCUUUUGAUAUUGUCAUGAUUGUUCCAUCAUUUAAAAUGGCAAUAAUUAGAACCAUGAAUGGAGCAAAGUCAUAUUUCCAUAUCAAGGCAAUAAACAUGAAGCCAAACACAAUACGGAUUGUAAUUGAGACUGCAUAUAUGGUGUAGUUCUUCAUCCUUUGGAAUAUGGCCCUGCUGGUCAGCACUGCACUAAUAAUUACACUAAGCCCAGGUUCUGUGAGGACGAUGUCAGAAGCACUUCUGGCAGCAUCUGUAGCAUCAGCAACAGCUAUUCCAAUAUCUGCCUUCUUCAAAGCAGGUGCAUCAUUAACACCAUCACCAGUCAUUCCAACAAUGUGCUUCCUUUCUUGCAACUUCUUCACGAUUUCAUAUUUGUGCUCUGGAAACACUCCAGCAAAGCCAUCUGCCUUCUCAAUCAACUCUUCUACAGGAAGUGCAGCAAUGCUAGCAUCCUUAUCCUGACCAAGUAAAGAAGCAGAUGGAUACAUGUUUGUUCCCAUUCCAAGCCUCCGACCAGUUUCCUUACCAAUGGCAAGUUGAUCCCCGGUAAUCAUUUUAACAUUCACACCAAGGUUGAGAGCUCUUCUGAUGGUUUCAGCACUGUCGUGCCUGGGAGGAUCAAACAAAGGCAACAAUCCAACAAACUGCCAUGGGCCUCCUGGACUAUCCUUUGUUUUCUCAGGUACUUCCUGUCUUGCAACAGCUAAAGAACGAAGCCCACGUUCAGCAAACUUAUCAAUCACACCAUGAACCUUCUUCUUGACAUCCUCCUUGCUAUUGCAUAGGGCUAAUAUCUGCUCAGGGGCACCCUUGCUAGCUCGGUGCCAGUUUCCAUCAGAAUCAAUGUAUGUAAGGGCAGUUCUCUUGUCUACAGGAUUGAAUGGAAGAAAAUGGACCUCUCUAAUACCAGCUCUUGCCUGACCAGUCACCAAUAUUGUUAUGAUCAGAAACUUGAUUCUUCAUUCUUGUGAAAACUUAAGAGCAAGGCAGCAUAGGAGAAAGCAACAGUAAAGGUUAUACCUCCUUUGGGUCUGCAAGCAUCCCUACAAUUGCACAAUCAAUCGCAUCCUGAUUCUCAGUUCUUGAAGCUCUAGCUGCAAGAAGUAUCACAUACUCUUUAUCCACGCCCUUUGCAAAUACUUCAAUCAGGGUCCUAUCAACAGUAAGCUUGUUCAGGGUCAGAGUUCCAGUCUUGUCACUGCAGAGGACAUCCAUGCCUGCCAUUUCCUCAAUGGCAGUCAUUCUCUUUGUAAUUGCACCCUGCUGAGAUAGCCUGUGUGAACCAAUAGCCAUGGUGACAGAUAAAACAGUUGGCAUAGCAAUGGGAAUCCCUCCGAUCAAAAGAACCAAUAGGUUGUCAAUUCCUUGUCUGUACUUGCGAUGCUGUAUUGGAUACAUUACUAUAAUUUCAAUGAUUAUUCCAACAGCGAUUGAGCAAAUACAGAAGUUACCAAUGGCAGUUAGAACUUUUUGGAAAUGUCCAACUUGAUUAGUGCUGUCCACCAGAUGGGCAGCCUUACCAAAGAAGGUAUGCACACCAGUAGCAAUUACUACUGCUUCAAUUUCGCCCUGUUUACAUGUUGAACCAGAAAACACUUCAUCUGAGGGGUUCUUAGUAACAGGAAGUGACUCUCCAGUAAGGGCGGAUUGAUCAACCUUCAAAGGAUCACCCUCAAGAAGACGGGCAUCAGCAGGGAUUAUAUCUCCCAAUUUAAUGCUGAUAAUGUCCCCUGGGACCAAAAUUGCAGCUUCUUGCUCAGUCCAACUACCAUCUCUCAGAACCUUAGUCUUGGGAGCAAGACCAGCCAUAAGGGCUGCAGCUGCAUUUCCAGCAUUGUUUUCUUCGAUGAAACUGAUUGUGGAGUUUAUGAACAACAAAGCAACAAUCCCAACGAAGUCCUGCCAAUCAGGAGGUCUCCCAUCACCAUUGGCUAAAGCUAUGGCCAUGAUAGCUGCUGCUUCCAUAACCCAUGACAAUGGGUUCCACAUAAAACCCAAGAACUUGAGAAUUUUGCUCUCCUUUUUCUCUUCUAGUUUGUUUGGCCCAAAAACUUGAAGCCGAUUGGCUCCUUCCUCUGAAGUAAGACCUUCCCUGGUACAUUUCAGCUGCUCAAACACUUCCUCUAUGGGAAUCCGUUCCAGAUCAACGGACUCGUUUUUGAUCUCCUCAAGACUGAUGCCUCCCUUGGUAGCCAUACUCGAUAAAUCAGAAGCUACAAAUGAUAUAGCAAGAAAGAGAGAAGGGGGAUUGGUUUCAGAGAAUCAUAACAGAAGAAGUAGAAGGGAUGCGAAGCGUAAAGCGAGUGAGAGAGAAAAAUAAAUGCAAUGAAAUGAGACAAAUAAAGUCUCUCUCUCUCUCUC
Molecule: unclassified non-coding RNA, 3978 nt
Filed under: Hevea brasiliensis (rubber tree)
Lineage: Eukaryota; Viridiplantae; Streptophyta; Magnoliopsida; Malpighiales; Euphorbiaceae
Source: RNAcentral